UGCUGCAGUUGUUGACCAAGGGGGGUAUUGAACAGGCCCUGAACACCCCCAGAGCUCUCAGUAGCUCCCCCAGACUUUUCACCUGGAAUGCACGGGGGUCGUCGAAGCUCAAGGUCACCGGGGGGUCGCAGCCUGGUUGGGGAUGGGUCACUGGCAAGUCACUGGGCCGCGAGGUCAUGGUGGGGUCACCACUGAGCAUCCUGGGAGUUGUAGUCCUAGCUGCUGGGUUCCAGAUUGGGAGGAGGUGUCGCACACAGGAGCGAGAGAGAAACAUCCUGUGCGUGUGAGUGCCUGUCUGUCUGCUGGACCACCUGGCUCCCUGGACUUCCUGUCUGUCUGCACUACCUGUCUGCUGGACCACCUGUCUGUCUGUCUGUCUGUCUGGACUUCCCGUCUCUCUGUACCACCUGUCUGUCUGUCUGGACUUCCUGUCUGUCUGCACUACCUGUCUAUUGGACCACCUGUCUAUCUUAUCUGUCUGUCUCAACCACCUGUCUAUCUGACCCCCCUGUGUUGUGAAGAUGGUGCUGUUCUCAGUGUGUUGUUCAGUUGGGCAGUUGUGCAGUGUGUUGUGAAGACGGUGCUGUUCUCAGUGUGUUGUGCAGUGUGUUGUGAAGACGGGGCUGUCCUGUUGUUAGUAUUGUGCUCCUGUGUGCUGGGACAGAGUUUCGUAGAUCCCAGAAUCCCGAGUCUCUCCCUGCCUGCGGGCGUCUCACUCCUCUCUCCCAGCACCUGAAAAACCAGCACAGCUGUCGGCCUGCUGUGACCCCAACUCGUGCAGCCCCAGUCCAGUCCAGUCCAUCCAGGGAUCACCAGUCUCAGUCGUCCACUCCAGUCCAGGGGUCUCCAGCCCCAGUCCAGUACAGGGGUCUCCAGCCCCAGUCCAGGUAGAAUGUCAUACAAAGAGAGACACAGGCAGACAGACAGGUGGGGAGAUACAGACAGAGAGGGGGAGAUACAGACAGACAGUGAAACAGACGGGUGGAGAGAUACAGAGAGAGACACAGGCAGACAGACAGGUGGAGAGAUACAGAGAGAGACACAGGCAGACAGACAGACAGUCAGACAAACAGGCACAGGGAGUCUGUGGAGAGUCUCCUACCUCGUGCUGCAGCAAGCAAGUCCAGAGGACGAGUGAGAGAGGACACUGUGUCUGAGGGUCAGUCCAGCAGACUGUGAGCUGACAUGAGUUUGCAGCUCGAGC
This 1204-nucleotide long non-coding RNA is filed under the name Lepisosteus oculatus (spotted gar). RNAcentral's name for it is "lncRNA (ENSLOCG00000023311.1)". Lineage: Eukaryota; Metazoa; Chordata; Actinopteri; Semionotiformes; Lepisosteidae. The record is from RNAcentral.